CUGAGCAGAACUAUGAUAUCGAAAUAAAUAUAAAGUAAAAAUAAUAAAGAAAAAAUAAGAGAAAUACACCCAAGCCAAUUCUCCAUUUUAUACAUCGACCUUCCCUACGGAAACGAAAUAAAUUCUGGAAAAAAAAGCGCACGGUAAAAAUGUUGAUUUUUUAACCCCCUCCCCCCAAGUGUACGUUUUGUACACUUUGGAAAAUGGAUGACCCCUUAGACAACUCAUAUGCGGAGAUAGUGUCGCGCUGGAAAGUAAGUAACUGGGAACAUGGAAUUGUCACGAACACGCACAGCGCAAGUCAUUAGACCUUAGAAAAGAAAGUGGACAAAUGAUGCACCGAAACCGACGAGCCGUACGAAAAACAAAUUAACAAUACAAACCGUUUAAUGAAGCGGAAAACAUAUAAGUUAAUAUAGAUGAUUCUAAAACUGACAAUCAAAACGAGAUGCUAAACAAUUCAAGAGACGAGGCAACAUCGGUACGGUCCGACACAAUGAUUACAACCUACAGCAGAAAAAUAAAAAAGACCAUCGC
Molecule: long non-coding RNA, 537 nt
Filed under: Mytilus galloprovincialis (Mediterranean mussel)
Lineage: Eukaryota; Metazoa; Mollusca; Bivalvia; Mytilida; Mytilidae
Source: RNAcentral